RNAcentral lists this ribosomal RNA (254 nucleotides) under uncultured bacterium. Its description in RNAcentral is "partial 16S ribosomal RNA". It matches the Rfam family "Bacterial small subunit ribosomal RNA", at positions 524 to 776 of the family's 1533-position model. The record is from RNAcentral.
UACAGAGGUGCCGAGCGUUAGGCGGAAUCACUGGGCUUAAAGCGCGUGUAGGCGGGUCGUUAAGUGUCCGCGUGAAAUCCCACGGCUCAACCGUGGAACUGCCGGGCAUACUGGCGACCUUGAGGCACUUAGGGGCGAGCGGAACAAAUGGUGGAGCGGUGAAAUGCGUAGAUAUCAUUUGGAACGCCAACGGUGAAAACAGCUCGCUGGGGAUGUGCUGACGCUGAGACACGAAAGCCAGGGGAGCAAACGGG